RNAcentral lists this ribosomal RNA (305 nucleotides) under uncultured bacterium. Its description in RNAcentral is "bacterial SSU rRNA". It matches the Rfam family "Bacterial small subunit ribosomal RNA", at positions 334 to 655 of the family's 1533-position model. The record is from RNAcentral.
UUGUGCCUACGGGACGCAGCAGUGGGGAAUUUUGCGCAAUGGGGGGAACCCUGACGCAGCAACGCCGCGUGCGGGACGAAGGCCUUCGGGUUGUAAACCGCUUUCAGCAGGGAAGAUCCAAGACGGUACCUGCAGAAGAAGCUCCGGCUAACUACGUGCCAGCAGCCGCGGUAAUACGUAGGGGGCGAGCGUUAUCCGGAUUCAUUGGGCGUAAAGCGCGCGUAGGCGGCCGCCUAAGCGGAACCUCUAAUCCCGGGGCUCAACCUCGGGCCGGGUUCCGGACUGGGCGGCUCGAGUGCGGUAGG